Molecule: long non-coding RNA, 1583 nt
Filed under: Sorghum bicolor (sorghum)
Lineage: Eukaryota; Viridiplantae; Streptophyta; Magnoliopsida; Poales; Poaceae
Description: long non-coding RNA (SBIC_LNC015057)
Source: RNAcentral
UUUGCAGCUGAGGAGAUCUCCUCUAUGGUUCUCAUCAAGAUGCGUGAGAUCGCUGAAGCUUACCUUGGCAGCACGAUCAAGAAUGCUGUUGUCACAGUCCCUGCCUACUUCAACGACUCACAGAGGCAGGCCACAAAGGAUGCUGGGGUGAUUGCUGGCCUCAACGUCCUCCGUAUCAUCAAUGAGCCAACUGCUGCUGCUAUCGCCUAUGGUCUUGACAAGAAGGCAACCAGUGUUGGCGAGAAGAAUGUCCUCAUCUUUGACCUUGGAGGUGGUACCUUCGAUGUCUCCCUCCUCACCAUUGAGGAAGGCAUCUUUGAGGUCAAGGCCACAGCUGGUGACACCCAUCUGGGUGGUGAGGACUUUGACAACAGGAUGGUGAACCACUUCGUCCAGGAGUUCAAGAGGAAGAACAAGAAGGACAUCACUGGCAACCCGAGGGCUCUCAGGAGGCUGAGGACUGCUUGUGAGAGGGCGAAGAGGACUCUAUCUUCCACUGCUCAGACCACCAUUGAGAUCGACUCUCUGUACGAGGGCAUCGACUUCUACUCCACCAUCACCCGUGCCAGGUUUGAGGAGCUCAACAUGGACCUGUUCAGGAAGUGCAUGGAGCCCGUGGAGAAGUGCCUGAGGGAUGCCAAGAUGGACAAGAGCAGCGUGCACGACGUUGUCCUUGUUGGUGGCUCCACCCGUAUCCCCAGGGUGCAGCAGCUGCUCCAGGACUUCUUCAACGGCAAGGAGCUGUGCAAGAACAUCAACCCCGAUGAGGCCGUCGCCUACGGUGCCGCUGUCCAGGCCGCCAUCCUGAGCGGCGAGGGCAACGAGAAGGUGCAGGACCUGCUUCUGCUGGACGUCACCCCUCUCUCCCUUGGCCUGGAGACCGCCGGAGGAGUGAUGACCGUGCUGAUCCCGAGGAACACCACCAUCCCCACCAAGAAGGAGCAGGUGUUCUCCACCUACUCGGACAACCAGCCUGGUGUCCUGAUCCAGGUGUACGAGGGCGAGAGGACACGGACCCGCGACAACAACCUGCUGGGCAAGUUCGAGCUCUCCGGCAUCCCCCCUGCGCCCCGUGGUGUGCCCCAGAUCACGGUGUGCUUCGACAUCGACGCCAACGGCAUCCUGAACGUCUCGGCCGAGGACAAGACGACCGGGCAGAAGAACAAGAUCACCAUCACCAACGACAAGGGCCGUCUGUCCAAGGAGGAGAUCGAGAAGAUGGUGCAGGACGCGGAGAAGUACAAGUCGGAGGACGAGGAGCACAAGAAGAAGGUGGAGGCCAAGAACUCGCUGGAGAACUACGCCUACAACAUGCGCAACACGAUCAAGGACGAGAAGAUCGCGUCCAAGCUGGCCGGCGACGACAAGAAGAAGAUCGAGGACGCCAUCGACGCGGCCAUCUCGUGGCUGGACGCCAACCAGCUCGCCGAGGCGGACGAGUUCGAGGACAAGAUGAAGGAGCUCGAGUCGCUGUGCAACCCCAUCAUCGCCAAGAUGUACCAGGGCGCGGGCGCCGACAUGGGCGGCGCCGGCGGCAUGGACGAGGACGCACCCGCGGGCAGCGGCGGCCCUGGCCCCAAGAU